CCUAAAUUACAUGCAAGUCGAGCGGACAGAUGGGAGCUUGCUCCCUGAUGUUAGCGGCGGACGGGUGAGUAACACGUGGGUAACCUGCCUGUAAGACUGGGAUAACUCCGGGAAACCGGGGCUAAUACCGGAUGGUUGUUUGAACCGCAUGGUUCAGACAUAAAAGGUGGCUUCGGCUACCACUUACAGAUGGACCCGCGGCGCAUUAGCUAGUUGGUGAGGUAACGGCUCACCAAGGCGACGAUGCGUAGCCGACCUGAGAGGGUGAUCGGCCACACUGGGACUGAGACACGGCCCAGACUCCUACGGGAGGCAGCAGUAGGGAAUCUUCCGCAAUGGACGAAAGUCUGACGGAGCAACGCCGCGUGAGUGAUGAAGGUUUUCGGAUCGUAAAGCUCUGUUGUUAGGGAAGAACAAGUGCCGUUCAAAUAGGGCGGCACCUUGACGGUACCUAACCGGAAUGCCACGGCUAACUAC
Molecule: ribosomal RNA, 477 nt
Filed under: Bacillus amyloliquefaciens
Lineage: Bacteria; Bacillati; Bacillota; Bacilli; Caryophanales; Bacillaceae
Description: bacterial SSU rRNA
Rfam family: Bacterial small subunit ribosomal RNA
Source: RNAcentral